Small nuclear RNA from Neoarius graeffei (lesser salmon catfish), 182 nucleotides. RefSeq annotates it as U2 spliceosomal RNA. The transcript has a single exon. NCBI's taxonomy places the organism in Eukaryota, Metazoa, Chordata, Actinopteri, Siluriformes, Ariidae. The record is from RefSeq and is a predicted model, not a curated record.
AUUGCUUCUCGGCCUUUUGGCUAAGAUUAAGUGAAGUAUCUAAUAAUCAAUACAUGGAUUAACCUGACAGGAUUUACUGAAAUGUUAAUUACUUUUAAGUCUUAUUUGCAAAUCUUCAUUGUUAAAACUAGCCAGCAGGCUAACAUGACAAGUUAGCACUAGCCAAGUAGCUAGCAGGAGCU